RNAcentral lists this ribosomal RNA (854 nucleotides) under uncultured archaeon. Its description in RNAcentral is "bacterial SSU rRNA". It matches the Rfam family "Archaeal small subunit ribosomal RNA", at positions 19 to 872 of the family's 1478-position model. The record is from RNAcentral.
GGAGGUUACUGCUAUCGGAGUUCGAUUUAGCCAUGCGAGUCUAAAGGUUUCUUNGGAAACCUUGGCGGACUGCUCAGUAACACGUGGAUAACCUACCCUUGGGACUGGAAUAACCCCGGGAAACUGGGGAUAAUACCGGAUAGAUCAGGGAUGCUGGAAUGCACCUUGAUCCAAAGCUCCGGCGCCCAAGGAUGGGUCUGCGGCCUAUCAGGUAGUAGUGGGUGUAACGUACCUACUAGCCAACGACGGGUACGGGUUGUGAGAGCAAGAGCCCGGAGAUGGAUUCUGAGACACGAAUCCAGGCCCUACGGGGUGCAGCAGGCGCGAAACCUUUACAAUGUGCGAAAGCAUGAUAAGGGAACUCCGAGUGCCAGCAUCUAAUGUUGGCUGUCCUUGUGCCUAAAACGCACAAGAUAGCAAGGGCCGGGUAAGACCGGUGCCAGCCGCCGCGGUAACACCGGCGGCCCAAGUGGUAGCCGCUAUUAUUGGGUCUAAAGGGUCCGUAGCCGGUUCGAUAAGUCCUCUGGGAAAUCUGGUUGCUUAACAAUCAGACUGCCAAGGGAUACUGUCGAACUUGAGACCGGGAGAGGUAAGAGGUACUUCAGGGGUAGGAGUGAAAUCUUGUAAUCCCUGGGGGACCAUCUGUGGCGAAGGCGUCUUACCAGAACGGGUCUGACGGUGAGGGACGAAAGCUGGGGGCGCAAACCGGAUUAGAUACCCGGGUAGUCCCAGUCGUAAACGAUGCUCGCUAUGUGUCAGGUACGGUGUGACCGUAUCUGGUGCCGUAGGGAAGCCGUGAAGCGAGCCACCUGGGAAGUACGGCCGCAAGGCUGAAACUUAAAGGAAUUGGCGGG